Non-coding RNA from Trichoderma asperellum CBS 433.97, 97 nucleotides. The record is from the annotation of a RefSeq genome assembly. Lineage: Eukaryota; Fungi; Ascomycota; Sordariomycetes; Hypocreales; Hypocreaceae.
GACACUUUGGCCGAGUGGUUAAGGCGAUGCCCUGCUAUCAUCAUGAUAUCUUCAGGCAUUGUGUUCGCACGCGCAGGUUCGAAUCCUGCAGGUGUCG